This 927-nucleotide ribosomal RNA is filed under the name Saproscincus czechurai. RNAcentral's name for it is "partial 16S ribosomal RNA". It matches the Rfam family "Bacterial large subunit ribosomal RNA", at positions 940 to 2581 of the family's 2925-position model. The record is from RNAcentral. Lineage: Eukaryota; Metazoa; Chordata; Lepidosauria; Squamata; Scincidae.
UUUAGCCUAAAUAGCACAGCCUAGCCCUCCAACAGACUAAAAGAUACUCGACCGGGGUACAGCCCUGUCGAAUAAGGAUACAACCUAAGCCAGCGGGUCAGAACUAAUCACUUUUCCCUAUAGGCCUUAAAGCCGCCAUCAAUAAAUAAAGCGUCACAGCACAACACUAUAGAUACUAACAGUUCUAUCAAACCCCUAGCAAGCCACUGAGCCAUACUAUAUUAAUAGUAGCACCAAUGCUAAAACUAGUAACAAGAAGACUUCUCUACGCACCCUCGUGCCCCAGUAACAGAAAGACUACUGGAUAUUACCAGACCCUACAAACAGGGACACAAGCCUGUCAUACCAACACAGGAGCGCCCAAAAGAAGGUUAAAAACCACAUAAGGAACUCGGCAACCCCUGUUCCAACUGUUUACCAAAAACAUAGCCUUUAGCCAAACAAGUAUUAAAGGUGCUGCCUGCCCAGUGAAAUCUUAAACGGCCGCGGUAUCCUAACCGUGCAAAGGUAGCGUAAUCACUUGUCUUUUAAAUAAAGACUCGUAUGAACGGCUAAAUGAGAACAGCCCUGUCUCUUGUGGUCAACCAGUGAAACUGAUCUUUAAGUACAAAAGCUUAAAUAAACCCAUAAGACGAGAAGACCCGUGGAGCUUAAAACCAACACUAUUAACUAACUAAAAUAGCACAGGUUUUAAGUUGGGGCGACUUCGGAACAAAACUAAACUUCCGAACACGGGAGCCAAAACCUCUCCCCUAGACUAACAAGUCAAAGGAGACACCGACCCAGUCCACACUGAACAAUGAACCAAGUUACCCCAGGAUAACAGCGCCAUCUUCUUCAAGAGUUCCUAUCGACAAGAAGGUUUACGACCUCGAUGUUGGAUCAGGACACCCAAAUGGUGCAACAGCUAUUAAAGGUUCGUUUGUU